UACGAGGGGUGCAAGCGUUAUUCGGAAUCAUUGGGCGUAAAGGGUGCGUAGACGGUUUGUUAAGUCUAUUGUUUAAUACUCCGGCUUAACCGGAGAAAGGCAGUGGAAACUGAUGGACUAGAGGAUGAGAGAGAGAAGUGGAAUUCCUGGAGUAGCGGUCAAAUGCGUAGAUCUCAGGAGGAACACCGAUGGCGAAGGCAGCUUCUUGGCUCAUACCUGACGUUGAGGCACGAAAGCGUGGGGAGCAAACAGG
This 253-nucleotide ribosomal RNA is filed under the name uncultured bacterium. RNAcentral's name for it is "partial 16S ribosomal RNA". It matches the Rfam family "Bacterial small subunit ribosomal RNA", at positions 524 to 776 of the family's 1533-position model. The record is from RNAcentral.